UGCAUGGCGGUAGGAUGAGAACCGUAAGGUUCGACGCAGGCGCGUAGCGCCGGAGAACGUCGCGCGAAGCGCGGCGGCCCGGAGGGCGAGGGCGCAGCCCGAGUAAUCCUACCGCCCCAGCCA
Molecule: small RNA, 123 nt
Filed under: Gammaproteobacteria bacterium
Lineage: Bacteria; Pseudomonadati; Pseudomonadota; Gammaproteobacteria
Also listed under: 2 other names
Description: RtT sRNA
Rfam family: RtT RNA
About the family: This family represents a bacterial cis-regulatory element known as RtT RNA. The exact function of RtT is unknown although it is thought that it may be involved in changing the cellular response in relation to amino acid starvation.
Source: RNAcentral